This 473-nucleotide ribosomal RNA is filed under the name uncultured bacterium. RNAcentral describes it as "bacterial SSU rRNA". It matches the Rfam family "Bacterial small subunit ribosomal RNA", at positions 335 to 802 of the family's 1533-position model. The record is from RNAcentral.
ACUCCUACGGGAGGCAGCAGUGGGGAAUAUUGCACAAUGGGGGAAACCCUGAUGCAGCCAUGCCGCGUGUGUGAAGAAGGCCUUCGGGUUGUAAAGCACUUUCAGUAGGGAGGAAGGUAGUGUAGUUAACACCUGCAUUAUUUGACGUUACCUACAGAAGAAGCACCGGCUAACUCCGUGCCAGCAGCCGCGGUAAUACGGAGGGUGCGAGCGUUAAUCGGAAUUACUGGGCGUAAAGCGCAUGCAGGCGGCCUGUUAAGUCAGAUGUGAAAGCCCGGGGUCUUAACCUCGGAAUUGCAUUUGAAACUGGCAGGCUAGAGUCUUGUAGAGGGGUUAGAAUUUCAGGUGUAGCGGUGAAAUGCGUAGAGAUCUGAAGGAAUACCAGUGGCGAAGGCGGCCCCGUGGACAAAGACUGACGCUCAGAUGCGAAAGCGUGGGAGCAAACAGGAUUAGAUACCCCUGGUAGACUGUCA